Small nucleolar RNA from Lemur catta (Ring-tailed lemur), 129 nucleotides. RefSeq annotates it as small nucleolar RNA SNORA25. The transcript has a single exon. The record is from RefSeq and is a predicted model, not a curated record. NCBI's taxonomy places the organism in Eukaryota, Metazoa, Chordata, Mammalia, Primates, Lemuridae.
AAGUCAUUUCAUAGAGGGCCUGUGAGUCUACGAAACCAAGAGCUCUUAACACUGUGACCAAAGAUUGAAGUUCUCCAUAGGAUACCACAGUCACUCAAAAAUGUCAUGUUAUCCUACGAAGAUAUAAGA